Passer domesticus (house sparrow) is the source of this 405-nucleotide long non-coding RNA. RefSeq lists it as uncharacterized. NCBI's taxonomy places the organism in Eukaryota, Metazoa, Chordata, Aves, Passeriformes, Passeridae. The record is from RefSeq and is a predicted model, not a curated record. The transcript has 3 exons.
AAAGUGCCUGAAGGUUGCUGUCAGGACAGAACCUUUCAUACAAACAUUAAAGCUCCUUGGGAAAUGAAAAUUCCAGGUUGUGAGACAUGAAGUUUCAUCUGCCAAAGAUAAGAGAAUGUCAGAAAUAUUUUGAGAGUAUAUUGCUGUUCCCUGUAAACACAAGCAAUGGAACUGAAUUCUCAGGAGUCUCUGAGUGGUGUCUCUAGGCAGUUGCUUGAAGGAUUUAACUGAAAAAUUCCAGUUGGCCAAAACAUUUCAGGUGCAGGACCCUGCAUUUGCCCUUGCUGAACUUCAGAUGAUUCUUCUCUGCACAUCCCUCCAACCUCCAAAGUCUUUCUGAAGGGCUGCACAGCUCUCUGGGCUCUGGGCCACUCCUCCCAGCUUUGUGCCAUCAGUGAACAUGCU